GACGAACGCUGGCGGCGUGCCUAACACAUGCAAGUCGAGCGAAGUAUAUCUGAGGGAAAUUUUCGGAUGGAACUUAGAUAUAUCUUAGCGGCGGACGGGUGAGUAACGCGUGAGCAACCUGCCUUUCACAAAGGGAUAGCCUCGGGAAACUGGGAUUAAUACCAUAUAAAACUUGUCUUUCGCAUGAAAGAAAAGUCAAAGCGAAUAAGCGGUGAAAGAUGGGCUCGCGUCCUAUUAGCUAGUUGGUGAGGUAACGGCUCACCAAGGCGACGAUAGGUAGCCGGCCUGAGAGGGUGAACGGCCACACUGGAACUGAGACACGGUCCAGACUCCUACGGGAGGCAGCAGUGGGGGAUAUUGCACAAUGGAGGAAACUCUGAUGCAGCGACGCCGCGUGAGUGAAGAAGGCCUUCGGUCGUAAAGCUCUGUCCUAGGGGAAGAGUAAUGACGGUACCCUACGGAGGAAGCCCCGGCUAACUACGUGCCAGCAGCCGCGGUAAAGAGUAGUA
Molecule: ribosomal RNA, 509 nt
Filed under: uncultured bacterium
Lineage: Bacteria
Description: bacterial SSU rRNA
Rfam family: Bacterial small subunit ribosomal RNA
Source: RNAcentral